GCCAUGUACUUGCCAUGGCGAGGGUCGCACUUCGCCAUCAUGGAGGACGGCUCGAAUGCGCUGUUGGUGAUCUCAGCAACCGAGAGCUGCUCAUGGUAGGCCUUCUCAGCAGAAAUAACAGGUGCAUAGGAUGAAAGCAUGAAAUGGAUCCUUGGGUAUGGAACCAAGUUAGUUUGGAACUCAGUCACAUCAACGUUCAGUGCACCAUCAAACCUCAAAGAGGCAGUGAGGGAUGAAAUCACCUGCAAAAAUCAAUACAUUAAAAUUCAUGCAUCUUCAUAUCCAACUUUUUUCAACAACAAUCAACAAACAAAGUUGAAUAACCAACAAUCCACAGGAAUCAACUCAAAUUAUUAAAUUGCAAUUCCUAACAAGCUUUGAAACAAAUUUUACCUGAGAGACGAGGCGGUUGAGGUUGGUGUAGGUGGGGCGUUCAAUGUCAAGGGAGCGCCUGCAGAUGUCAUAGAUGGCUUCAUUGUCGAGAAGCACGGCGACAUCGGUGUGCUCAAGGAGGGAGUGAGUGGAAAGGACACUGUUAUAGGGCUCAACAACAGAGGUAGAAACCUGGGGAGAUGGGUAAACAGUGAACCCAAGCUUAGAUUUCUUUCCAUAA
Molecule: non-coding RNA, 613 nt
Organism: Arachis ipaensis
Lineage: Eukaryota; Viridiplantae; Streptophyta; Magnoliopsida; Fabales; Fabaceae
Source: RefSeq, a predicted model, not a curated record